RNAcentral lists this ribosomal RNA (429 nucleotides) under Bacteroidota bacterium. RNAcentral's name for it is "Bacteroidetes bacterium partial 16S ribosomal RNA". It matches the Rfam family "Bacterial small subunit ribosomal RNA", at positions 355 to 776 of the family's 1533-position model. The record is from RNAcentral. Lineage: Bacteria; Pseudomonadati; Bacteroidota.
UAGGGAAUUUUCCGCAAUGGACGCAAGUCUGACGGAGCAACGCCGCGUGAGUGAAGAAGGAUUUCGGUUCGUAAAACUCUGUUGUUAGAGAAGAACAGCGCAUAGAGUAACUGUUAUGCGUGUGACGGUAUCUAACCAGAAAGCCACGUCUAACUACUUGCCAGCAGCCGCGGUAAUACGUAGGUGGCAAGCGUUGUCCGGAUUUAUUGGGCGUAAAGCGAGCGCAGGCGGUCAAUUAAGUCUGAUGUGAAAGCCCCCGGCUCAACCGGGGAGGGUCAUUGGAAACUGGUUGACUUGAGUGCAGAAGAGGAGAGUGGAAUUCCAUGUGUAGCGGUGAAAUGCGUAGAUAUAUGGAGGAACACCAGUGGCGAAGGCGACUCUCUGGUCUGUAACUGACGCUGAGGUUCGAAAGCGUGGGUAGCAAACAGG